AUGUGUAUUUUCUUGCUCAUGAGCAAUAGUAUUAUUGCUGCAGUAUUAUCUACAAAUGAUGUGAUACAUCCAGACAAGCUAUGCCUACAGGUUUGGGUUGCGGAUGCACUGCGCCCCAUGCCACGUAGCUCCUGGCGGCAGCACCACGGGCUCCAGCAUGGCAGGCCCGAUGCACACGUAGGCGAACUUGCCGUACCACUCGUACUUGGAUCCCGGGCUGAAGACGUACAGCUCCUCGAACCCUCUCCUGCUCAGGCAAACCGAGUUCCUCCGGCCCUGCACCAAAACAUCAAUGAAUUCACAAGAAUUAAUCAGUUUUUCAGUUCAGUUUUGAUCUUUCAUUCCUUCUUCAGUUUUGCAUUUGUCAUGUACCCUGUCGAUGACGGUGAACUCCCUGGGCGCGUGCCGGUACACCCGGCACAGCUCCGCCGUCAGGUGCUUGUAGUUGUCGUCCUCCUCGCCGUCCGGCUCCGGUGCCCCCCUCGGCGAGCUCUGCCCGCCCCCGCCGCCGGAGAGGAGCAUGUCCAGCCCCUUGCUGACCCAGCGCGGCUGCGGGGAUGA
Molecule: ribosomal RNA, 561 nt
Filed under: Triticum aestivum (bread wheat)
Lineage: Eukaryota; Viridiplantae; Streptophyta; Magnoliopsida; Poales; Poaceae
Description: partial small subunit ribosomal RNA
Source: RNAcentral